Ailuropoda melanoleuca (giant panda) is the source of this 588-nucleotide RNA transcript. It is a transcript of the gene named dual oxidase 1-like, with no coding region annotated. The record is from RefSeq and is a predicted model, not a curated record. The transcript is spliced from 4 exons. NCBI's taxonomy places the organism in Eukaryota, Metazoa, Chordata, Mammalia, Carnivora, Ursidae.
GUGCCAGGUCCUUGCACUCACUCUUGUCCCUUCUUGGCCCCAGGUGCUGGAGUCCACAGCUGCCCUGUACAACCAGGACCUGUCCCGGCUGGAGCUGCUCCUUGGGGGGCUCCUGGAGAGCCAUGGGGACCCUGGGCCCCUCUUUAGUGCUAUUGUCCUCAACCAGUUUGUGAGGCUGCGGGACAGCGACCGCUAUUGGUUUGAGAACACCAGGAAUGGGCUGUUCUCUGAGGAAGAAAUCACAGAGAUCACAAACACUUCCCUAUGGGAUGUUCUAGUGGCUGUCACCAACUUGAACCCCAGUGCCCUGCAGCCCAAUGUCUUCUUCUGGCAUGCGGGAGACCCCUGCCCGCAGCCAAGACAGCUCAGCACCAAGGGCCUGCCAGCCUGUGCUCCCUCCAUCAUGCGGGACUAUUUUGAAGGCAGUGGAUUUGGCUUUGGGGUCACCAUUGGGUCUCUGCUGCUUCCCCCUUGUGAGCCUGCUGAGUGCCUGGAUUGUUGCCCAGCUCCGAAGGGGAAAUUUCAAGCGGCUCCAGGGCCAGGACCGCCAGAGUGUCAUGCCUGAGAAGCUUGUGGGGGGCAUGGAAG